GAUCAUAAUCUGUUAUUAACUUUUAAGAGUUCAUGUUUUCUAGCGUGCUUUGAUAGCUCAGUUGGGAGAGCGUCAGACUGAAGAUCUGAAGGCCCAGUGUUCGAUUCACUGUCAAAGCA
RNAcentral lists this transfer RNA (119 nucleotides) under Phaeodactylum tricornutum CCAP 1055/1. RNAcentral's name for it is "snRNA PTsRNA00052a". The stretch from base 47 to 119 matches the Rfam family "tRNA". From Rfam's summary of the family: Transfer RNA (tRNA) molecules are approximately 80 nucleotides in length. Their secondary structure includes four short double-helical elements and three loops (D, anti-codon, and T loops). The record is from RNAcentral. Lineage: Eukaryota; Bacillariophyta; Bacillariophyceae; Surirellales; Neidiaceae.